This 2149-nucleotide long non-coding RNA is filed under the name Prunus dulcis (almond). RNAcentral describes it as "sRNA ncRNA". The record is from RNAcentral. Lineage: Eukaryota; Viridiplantae; Streptophyta; Magnoliopsida; Rosales; Rosaceae.
CGGGAUUCUUAAAAUUAUUUUCUAACUUCGUGAAACCUAAUUGAACUCAUAUUAUUUCCAGCCGCCUCCUCUUCACUGUUCUCUCGUCUUCUCUUCUUAUCUCGACUCUGAAUCAUCGAUACCCUCUCUAUGCUCAUGAUUCACUGUUGUCAAAUCGCUUGAUUCUCCGGCUUGCUUUGCUCUCUCAUCACAAUAUCAGGUAUAUCUCAUCUUCCUUCUAGUUUUUCAGUUUUUUUAGUAUUUAAAUCCUAUUUGCAUUUGUUCUCUGUGGUUCAACAUGUUAUAUUCAUUGUUGUUUUUUCGGUACUUACAAUUUUCUCUUUUAUAUUCUGAGGGCUCUCUAACACAGGUAAAAUAAUUGCCUUUACUGUUUUUUGUAUAAUAUUUGCCUUCAUUGUUGUUUAUAUUCUCAUGGAUUUUCCGAAGCUUUUUUCGGCUCAAAACUCUAUUGGAUGUGGAUGUUCUGUAUUGGAAGAUAAGGAAUUUCUCUCUUUUAUUUUCUUCCUCUAGUGCGAGAGAGACCUCGACCUUCUUCGUUUGCCGCCGUCUCUUCCUCUAGUCAUCAGUUCAACUUCGCAACCAUGGUAUUUCUCCAUCGAAUUCUCUGUUUGUUUCCUGUGAAACUGAAAUUAAAAUGAAAAUGAAAAAGUUUGUUUGUUCAUGGUUCUGAUCUGUUACAUUUGGUUUUUUCUAUCCUAGAUCAUCUCAGAGAAGAACAGGAGAGAAAUCUCCAAAUACCUAUUCCAAGGUACACACAAAAAGCUUAGUUUUUUAUUUAUUCUCAAUGAAAUUAGGUUCUUCGUUUCCAUUUUUUUGUUAAAAUUUAUUGAAUUUAAUUUGAACAGAGGGAGUGUGCUAUGCAAAGAAGGACUAUAACUUGGCAAAACACCCAGAAAUCGAUGUGCCAAAUCUGCAGGUGAUUAAGCUGAUGCAGAGCUUCAAAUCCAAGGAGUAUGUGAGAGAAACUUUUGCUUGGAUGCACUACUACUGGUACCUGACCAAUGAUGGUAUUGAGUUUUUGAGGAACUACCUCAACCUUCCAUCUGAGAUUGUCCCUGCAACUUUGAAGAAGCAGGCCAAGCCUCCUGGUCGCCCCUUGGGCCCAUCUGGUGACCGCCCACGGUAAUUGAUUUGUUUCAUCGUCUUUAUUGGUUAUUGGAUCUAUUGAUUUUUGUAGAGUCUGUGGUUCUUUGUUCUAGAGUAUGUGAUAUCGAUCAUUUAGGAAGAAGUUAUUUAACUGAUUUGUGUAAGUAAACUGCGACAGAUAUGUGCUUCCUUUUCUUGUUCGUUUGUUGAACCCCUUGAUUGGUUGGAAUGUAAUGUGGAUGUUUUGAUGAUGUGAACAGCGGCCCACCUCGCUUUGAUGGAGGAGAACGCAGAUUUGGUGACAGGGAUGGGUACCGUUCAGGUCCUCGUGCACCAGGGGGUGAUUUUGGUGACAAGGGUGGAGCACCUGCUGACUACAGACCUUCUUUCGGGGUAAUAUUUCCGUUGUCAAGUAGUUUUUUUAAUAUUUCUCAUUUAGGUACUAUGUCUUUUUACCAUGUAUUCAUGUAUUGGGUUGGAGAUCAAUUGCCUUUCGAUGAUAUUCUAUUCUUCUUUACAUUUUGGAAUUGUAUUCUAUCUGAUCCCAUGUACCUUGUUAAUGAGGACUUGACAAACUUAUAUAGUGCCCACUUAAAUGUGUUUUAUGAUUAGAAGAUUUCCUCACUUUGGAAAAAUGAUGCAUUUGUUAACUCAUUAUGCUUCUUUCUCCCGAAAUAUCAGGGUAGUAGGCCUGGCUUUGGUCGUGGUGCCGGUGGAUCUGGUGGAGCUGGUGGUUUUGGUGCUGGCCCAGCAAGCUCUGAUCUCUCCUAAGGAAAUGGUGUACUUAGACACUGUUUGGUUUCCUAAGAUUGCAUUUAAGAAAGGAUGACAUUCUGUAUUAGGAGACAACAGCAGUUUUGUUUGACUUGCAAGAGUCUUGGGAUUGUAUUAGAUGUUUGUUUUUAUUCUAUAUGGUCUAUGAAUUGCACUUUGCAAAAUUUAUUUUUCUGUUAUCUAUGUCGUUGAGAAAUUUCGUAGAUGAUGUUUAAUAACUAUUUUCCUACAAUUCUUGGGUUUAGUGAAAAUAAAAAACAAUUCUUGGGCCUAAACCCUCCAUUAGGCA